AGUGGGCCGAGGGGGGGGGGUAGAGAGGAAAGGAAAGGGCUCCGUGGAGUUGAGCUGCUCUAUUAUUUUACCGUAAAUCUUGGGCAAUCCUGGAACUAAUUAUCGAGAGGAUAUGUCUCAAUUUGUUCUGCAUUAAUGCCACGUUGGGAAUGGAGUCGGGGCCACAGCCAGAGCAGACACUCGAGCACAUGAAAUUGAUGAACUGAGACUUUGCGCCGAGUGCCGAACACCCCAUCUGGAAUUCCAGUCUGAGAGGGGUUACAAUUAGAAUUUGUGACCCCAGAUUCAACUUUGGAGGAGGA
Molecule: long non-coding RNA, 302 nt
Filed under: Pogona vitticeps (central bearded dragon)
Lineage: Eukaryota; Metazoa; Chordata; Lepidosauria; Squamata; Agamidae
Description: WT1 antisense RNA conserved region 7 (ENSPVIG00000010891.1)
Rfam family: WT1 antisense RNA conserved region 7
Source: RNAcentral